Molecule: long non-coding RNA, 1201 nt
Filed under: Homo sapiens (human)
Lineage: Eukaryota; Metazoa; Chordata; Mammalia; Primates; Hominidae
Description: non-protein coding SRGAP3-AS2:1
Source: RNAcentral
GGGUUUCCCUGCUAUGUUUUGUCACACAUCAUUGCUGGGAGAGUUCAGUGCUAUCCAAGUGACUCCCCCGGGAGAGGACAACUGGAAAUUUAUGCCUGGUGUCUUCCUGGACUCCGACCUAUGCACCUUUUUCCUUGGAUGAUUUUAACCUGUCUCCUUUUGCUGCAAUGAACCAUAACCAUGAGUAUAUCAGCUUUUCUAAUUUUUGUGAGUCCCUCAAGUGAAUUAUCAAACCUAAGGUAGUUUUGGGACCCCCAUCACAGAGAGUCAAACAGGGGCAGGGCAAGAAGAGCUGCUUUUCCUGGAAGGCUAAUGAGUCUGAACUUCGCCCUGGAGGUAAUCGUUAUAGUAACUCCAGGCUCUAACCUGGAGCUGACAUGAUAAGGUCAAAUGUACACCUCUAGAAGACUUCCGACUGCAGAGGGGAAUGGAUGGGGGAGCUGAGGGAGGAGAGCUGAAGCAGGAAGACCAUGGCCUGGAAAGAGAUGGCUGAACCAGUCCAGAAUCACAAGAAAGGCAUCAGCACCUUCUGUGAAAUGGGGAGCCAUGCAGAGGAGGUGCCCAGGUGGCGAGGAGUCCAUGUCAGCUGCCGUCAUCCACACCACAGAUCAGACAUGGCAAAGAGUGGCCAGGCCUUCUGAGUGAAGGUGAUCCAACCUGUCACCAAGCCUAAGGGCAAAUCCUGGCUGUGCUGUGAUGGCUCCAACAACCCCAAACAGCAGCGCAGAGGCUGCAGCCGCCCUCGGAGGCAACACUGGGAAACGCUCAUUAGCAGCCUUCCAUUGCUCACCCGCCCCAUCCCACCUCUGUGCAUCCCAGAUCAUCAGCGAAGUGCACAGCUGGCUUCCAUCCUCGGAGCCUUCCUCCUUCAUUUGCCUAUUCAACAGUUACAAAGGCCUGAGUUGCAAAGGGGCUUACAACCCAUUCCACCCAGAAGAAAGAGAACUGAGACUGAGCAAGACAGAGAAUAGGUGGAAGGGGAGAUGAAACCAAGCAAUCUCUAGAUCCCAAAUGGGGACCCUGAUGUAGCAAGAGCCUCUUUUAAAUCCUUUUCCAAUAGGGUAAUAUGGAAAAUAGUUGAAAGCACAAGCCAAGUGGGGCUGGAAUCCCAAAUGGGCCAUUUACUAGCUGUGUGACUGGACAAGUAAUUUCAUAUUUCUGGGCCUCGAUUUUUCUCAUCUGUAAAAUAGAAAAAAAAAAA